UGGGGAAUAUUGGGCAAUGGGCGCAAGCCUGACCCAGCGACGCCGCGUGAGGGAAGACAGCCUUCGGGUUGUAAACCUCUGUUGCAGGGGAAGAAGGAAGUGACGGUACCCUGCGAGGAAGCUCCGGCUAACUACGUGCCAGCAGCCGCGGUAAUACGUAGGGAGCGAGCGUUGUCCGGAAUUACUGGGCGUAAAGGGCGCGUAGGCGGCGCUUCAAGUCGUCUGUCAAAAGCCGAGGCUCAACCUCGGCGCGCAGACGAAACUGGAGAGCUUGAGAAGCAGAGAGGCAAACAGAAUUCCUGGUGUAGCGGUGAAAUGCGUAGAUAUCAGGAAGAAUACCAGUGGCGAAGGCGGUUUGCUGGCUGCAUACUGACGCUGAAGCGCGAAAGCCAGGGGAGCAAACGGG
Molecule: ribosomal RNA, 406 nt
Filed under: uncultured bacterium
Lineage: Bacteria
Description: bacterial SSU rRNA
Rfam family: Bacterial small subunit ribosomal RNA
Source: RNAcentral